This 305-nucleotide ribosomal RNA is filed under the name uncultured bacterium. RNAcentral's name for it is "bacterial SSU rRNA". It matches the Rfam family "Bacterial small subunit ribosomal RNA", at positions 337 to 634 of the family's 1533-position model. The record is from RNAcentral.
GCCUACGGGGGGCAGCAGUGGGGAAUAUUGCGCAAUGGGCGAAAGCCUGACGCAGCGACGCCGCGUGGGGGAUGAAGGUCUUCGGAUCGUAAACCUCUGUCAGCAGGGAAGAACGGUCACUGUGCUAAUCAGCAGUGAAUUGACGGUACCUGCAAAGGAAGCACCGGCUAACUCCGUGCCAGCAGCCGCGGUAAUACGGAGGGUGCGAGCGUUAAUCGGAAUUACUGGGCGUAAAGCGCUCGUAGGCGGUAUGUCAGGUCAAGGGUGAAAUCCCCGCGCUCAACGUGGGAACUGCCUUUGAAACU